Molecule: long non-coding RNA, 424 nt
Organism: Zalophus californianus (California sea lion)
Lineage: Eukaryota; Metazoa; Chordata; Mammalia; Carnivora; Otariidae
Exons: 3
Source: RefSeq, a predicted model, not a curated record
UGGCAGAACCUGCGGGCUAAGGUGGGAGGCUCACCCUCAGGGAGGAAAGGAAGCGAGGACCGCACGGCUGGGCAGCGAGGAGACGUUUGGAGUCCGGGGCUCAGGCCGCCUACACCUCCUCCUGCAGCGGACACGGCGCAGCGGGCGGCGCACCGGCCCCUUCGGCUACCCUGCGCGCAGGUGGCAGUGUGGAAGCCCAAAACGGGAGCUUUCCAAAGUGGCUUCUGAAAAAUAAGAGUGAAUAUACAUGAGUAAGCUAGUACAGGAAUCAGAAAAACCACAGAUGGAGAAACUGAGUCCUGGAAGGUCGUGACAUCCUUGAAGUUACACAGAGAACUGAAGUAGCAUAUGGCUCACCUAGAAGGUAAAGGUGAGAACAGCUUCUACUUGAUGGGUACCCUCUUGAAGAGAAAUACUUUUGCUC